This 32-nucleotide non-coding RNA is filed under the name Mus musculus (house mouse). Lineage: Eukaryota; Metazoa; Chordata; Mammalia; Rodentia; Muridae. The record is from RNAcentral.
UAGGUGACUGUGCCUGUCUUAGGCCCAUCUCU